GACGAACGCUGGCGGCGUGCUUAACACAUGCAAGUCGAACGGAAAGGCCCCUUUUGGGGUACUCGAGUGGCGAACGGGUGAGUAACACGUGAGUAACCUGCCCUUGACUUCGGGAUAACUUCAGGAAACUGGGGCUAAUACCGGAUAGGAAUCCUUGCUGCAUGGUGGGGGUUGGAAAGCUUCGGCGGUUUUGGAUGGACUCGCGGCUUAUCAGCUUGUUGGUGGGGUAGUGGCUUACCAAGGCUUUGACGGGUAGCCGGCCUGAGAGGGCGACCGGCCACAUUGGGACUGAGAUACGGCCCAGACUCCUACGGGAGGCAGCAGUGGGGAAGAUUGCACAAUGGGCGGAAGCCUGAUGCAGCAACGCCGCGUGCGGGAUGACGGCCUUCGGGCUGGAAACCGCUUUCAGCAGGGGCGAAGCUUGUGGUGACGGUACCUGCAGAAGAAGCACCGGCUAACUACGUG
Molecule: ribosomal RNA, 465 nt
Filed under: uncultured bacterium
Lineage: Bacteria
Description: partial 16S ribosomal RNA
Rfam family: Bacterial small subunit ribosomal RNA
Source: RNAcentral